This 337-nucleotide unclassified non-coding RNA is filed under the name fungal sp. Its description in RNAcentral is "partial internal transcribed spacer region". The stretch from base 1 to 46 matches the Rfam family "Eukaryotic small subunit ribosomal RNA", at positions 1786 to 1831 of the family's 1831-position model. Lineage: Eukaryota; Fungi. The record is from RNAcentral.
AAGUCGUAACAAGGUUUCCGUAGGUGAACCUGCGGAAGGAUCAUUACAAAUCCAUUUUUUUUUUCUUUUAAGGUGCCAGCUGAGCGGAUGGACGUUAAGGUUUCACAACCUUGUCCUUCUGCUCGCUGCCCUUAAGGGAUUAAAAAAAAAAACCAAAUACCUCAAAACACCCUUUGUGCACUGUUGAAACGGCGUCAACGAGGGAAAACAACCUUUCCCCCCGUAGGCGUCUACCCAUUUCAAACGCUUUAUUUUUGUUUUGCCUAAAGGUUUUGAAAACCCAAGUGAUUUAAAUAAAUCUAAAAUACAACUUUUAGCAACGGAUCUCUUGGCUCUC